Molecule: non-coding RNA, 570 nt
Organism: Meleagris gallopavo (turkey)
Lineage: Eukaryota; Metazoa; Chordata; Aves; Galliformes; Phasianidae
Source: RefSeq, a predicted model, not a curated record
ACACCUGAGUGACCAGAGGGGGAGGAGCCAGGAUCCAUCCCUUUCCAGACUUCUUGUAAGGGUUCGCAGUCAAAGCAAGGCCAUCUUGCUGGGGAUCUCUGUGUACCACUAGGCCUUCUGAAGUUUGCUCUCAGCAAAAUCCAAGCAGAAUGAGUUAUCAGAAAAUGGAUGAAAGAGUGCCCUCUGGAGGCAGAAUUCAACUGAAUAACAUUCCAAUUCUAAGAUACGGGGAAGAGGAAUUGGAGAACAUAAACAUUACGACCAUAGGUAGAAAUGUUGGCAUUGCUCAAGACUCACAUAAAUACAAACAAGAAUGAUGCUGCAUCUUAAUACAGAUUGAAGACCCUAAUUUUAAUGGGAUGUCUGUCAGUGUGCUGAAGCACUGCAUGGACUUGGCAGAGUUCCGGCACUAACAUUGCUUGAUGCAUGGAAAUGAAAAUUUGAUGAAGGCAUCCUUUGCAGUUUCUCUCACUUUAAUUCCUUUAAUCAAAGUUUUAAUCAAGUUAUCAUGUGGCUACACUGUGACUGUAAUUGUAUAUGUGGAUUUAUGUGCAACAUAUUAAAAAAUCU